Molecule: unclassified non-coding RNA, 272 nt
Filed under: Hevea brasiliensis (rubber tree)
Lineage: Eukaryota; Viridiplantae; Streptophyta; Magnoliopsida; Malpighiales; Euphorbiaceae
Source: RNAcentral
GGUUCCCCCUCCUAGCAGUUAAUUGAAAUGCAAUGUGGAUGGUGCCAUUUUUCAAGAUCAAGCUAAAGUGGGAUUCGGGUUCGUGGUUUGCGAAUGCAAAGGCCGUUUCAUCGAAGCAGGGUCAGGCUGGAAGAAAGGUCUUUCUCCUCCUAAGGUGGUAGAAGCUUUUGGGCUUAGAUCAGUGCUGUCUUGGUUAAGCAGCAAGCACUUUCAUAAUAUUCAAGUGGAAGUGGAUUCUAAGGAGCUGGUGCAGGGUAUCCUUUCUUGGAAAG